This 395-nucleotide ribosomal RNA is filed under the name uncultured bacterium. RNAcentral's name for it is "partial 16S ribosomal RNA". It matches the Rfam family "Bacterial small subunit ribosomal RNA", at positions 523 to 918 of the family's 1533-position model. The record is from RNAcentral.
AUACGUAGGGUGCAAGCGUUAAUCGGAAUUACUGGGCGUAAAGCGUGCGCAGGCGGUUCGGAAAGAAGGAUGUGAAAUCCCAGGGCUCAACCUUGGAACUGCAUUCUUAACUACCGAACUAGAGUAUGUCAGAGGGGGGUAGAAUUCCGCGUGUAGCAGUGAAAUGCGUAGAUAUGCGGAGGAAUACCGAUGGCGAAGGCAGCCCCCUGGGAUAAUACUGACGCUCAUGCACGAAAGCGUGGGUAGCAAACAGGAUUAUAUACCCUGGUAGUCCACGCCCUAAACGAUGUCAACUAGCUGUUGGGCCCUUCGGGGCUUAGUAGCGUAGCUAACGCGUGAAGUUGACCGCCUGGGGAGUACGGUCGCAAGAUUAAAACUCAAAUGAAUUGACGGGG